Molecule: ribosomal RNA, 253 nt
Filed under: uncultured bacterium
Lineage: Bacteria
Description: partial 16S ribosomal RNA
Rfam family: Bacterial small subunit ribosomal RNA
Source: RNAcentral
UACGAAGGGGGCUAGCGUUGCUCGGAAUUACUGGGCGUAAAGCGUGCGCAGGCGGUUAUGUAAGUCAGAUGUGAAAUCCCCGGGCUCAACCUGGGAACUGCAUUUGUGACUGCAUAGCUAGAGUACGGUAGAGGGGGAUGGAAUUCCGCGUGUAGCAGUGAAAUGCGUAGAUAUGCGGAGGAACACCGAUGGCGAAGGCAAUCCCCUGGACCUGUACUGACGCUCAUGCACGAAAGCGUGGGGAGCAAACAGG